Molecule: ribosomal RNA, 488 nt
Filed under: uncultured Agromyces sp.
Lineage: Bacteria; Bacillati; Actinomycetota; Actinomycetes; Micrococcales; Microbacteriaceae
Description: bacterial SSU rRNA
Rfam family: Bacterial small subunit ribosomal RNA
Source: RNAcentral
GUAGUUGACUCCAGGCUCAGGACGACGCUGGCGGCGUGCUUAACACAUGCAAGUCGAACGAUGAAGCCCAGCUUGCUGGGUGGAUUAGUGGCGAACGGGUGAGUAACACGUGAGUAACCUGCCCUGGACUCUGGGAUAACCCCGAGAAAUCGGAGCUAAUACCGGAUAGGACCUUUCCUCGCAUGAGGUUUGGUGGAAAGUUUUUCGGUCUGGGAUGGACUCGCGGCCUAUCAGCUUGUUGGUGAGGUAAUGGCUCACCAAGGCGUCGACGGGUAGCCGGCCUGAGAGGGUGACCGGCCACACUGGGACUGAGACACGGCCCAGACUCCUACGGGAGGCAGCAGUGGGGAAUAUUGCACAAUGGGCGCAAGCCUGAUGCAGCAACGCCGCGUGCGGGAUGACGGCCUUCGGGUUGUAAACCGCUUUUAGUAGGGAAGAAGGGCUUCGGCUUGACGGUACCUGCAGAAAAAGGACCGGCUAACUACGUG